AAGGAUCAUUAACGAGUUUGAAAGGAGUUGAUGCUGGCCUUCUGGGGCAUGUGCUCGCUCUGCUCAUCCAUCUACACCUGUGCACCUAUUGUGGGUCUGGUUGACGGGUUGGAAACAACCUGAGAUGCCGUCCUACGUUUUUACAUACACUAUACAAGUUCAGAAUGUCUACCUGCGAUAAUACGCAUUUUAAUACAACUUUCAACAACGGAUCUCUUGGCUCUC
This 225-nucleotide unclassified non-coding RNA is filed under the name uncultured fungus. RNAcentral's name for it is "partial contains 18S rRNA, ITS1, 5.8S rRNA, ITS2 and 28S rRNA". Lineage: Eukaryota; Fungi. The record is from RNAcentral.